RNAcentral lists this small nucleolar RNA (107 nucleotides) under Oryza punctata. RNAcentral's name for it is "Plant small nucleolar RNA R71". It matches the Rfam family "Plant small nucleolar RNA R71". From Rfam's summary of the family: R71 is a member of the C/D box family of snoRNAs containing the C (UGAUGA) and D (CUGA) box motifs. Lineage: Eukaryota; Viridiplantae; Streptophyta; Magnoliopsida; Poales; Poaceae. The record is from Rfam by way of RNAcentral.
AUCCCAUGAUGAGGAUAGGCGGCGAUGUAUUCCUGGAGCCUUUCCCAUGCUUCCGGGAUCGUCUCAUCUUCUAUCGGUUGGAAACUGGAUAUUCUUCCACGAAGGGC